This 210-nucleotide long non-coding RNA is filed under the name Nicotiana benthamiana. RNAcentral's name for it is "long non-coding RNA (NBEN_LNC008943)". The record is from RNAcentral. Lineage: Eukaryota; Viridiplantae; Streptophyta; Magnoliopsida; Solanales; Solanaceae.
AUCAGCACAUUCUCCCAUCAAUGAUUUGAACACUUGAAUAAAUUCCUGCUAUACAACUAGUGGAUCUGUCAGCUUAUCACCUAAUUUAGUAUAUAUAGAACUAAUAUUAUUCUGGCUAGUUCUGAUCUUCCAUUGAGCAUGAAAUUACUUUGUAUUAGCAUCUCCACACUCAAUCCAGUUGGCUUUGGAUUUCUGCCUCAUAAUCUGCUC